RNAcentral lists this long non-coding RNA (2459 nucleotides) under Gallus gallus (chicken). The record is from RNAcentral. Lineage: Eukaryota; Metazoa; Chordata; Aves; Galliformes; Phasianidae.
AGAAGCUCCCCCUCCAGAUUUUCCUUUGCCUUCUGUGAAUGGUGGGUGCAAAUCCUUACAAUAAAAGACCAUGGAGUGUUGCUGUGGGAAAACUCUUCUGGGGCAAAUCCUGAGGAAGUGGAUGCUAAGUUUCAGAUGAAUUAGAAGGCAUAGUUUCUGCAGCUACAGUGGUUGUGUAUUUGGUGAGGACAGAAGGCACGUGAGAAAUAAAGUGGUGUGAUCAAGAUAAAAGAUAAAUUUUCAAGCAAUUAAUGUUACACCGGAGUUUCAUUCACUUAUACUGCAAAGAUAAUUUCCAAGAGUCAUUUUGAUGGAUAGAUCACAUAGAGAAAACACCUCAGUUUACAGAGGAACUUCAGUGGACAGUAAAAAUUGCAAUCCUUUUUAUAACCACCACCACAGAAGAAUACAAACAAGGAAAUGCGGGCCUCCAGUUUUACCUAACUAUUGUACUUUAGUAUAUUAGCUCAUAAAGAUUUUAUUUCAGCUAUGCUCUGAAUAGUAUCAUUGUCACUGGUAUGAUGUAGUCUCUACCAUAAUUAAUGUAUACUCAUAGUGUAGAAUUGUCAAUAAAAUAUGCCAUAAUUGCUCAAAUAUCUGUCAGUGAUUGUCCAUCAUGCCUGUAUGAUAAUAUGCAAUGAUAAUAUCAAAACAUUGUAAUAUGUUGUCAGAUCUAGAGUCAGUCUUAUAAACAACCAUUACAGUCAUGUCAAUUACAUCAGAUAAGAUACAGAUACUAGGGUGCAUAUUUUUGGGGGGGUUGAAAAUGAAAUUAUUCUACCUAAUGUCAUCUGUGAAGAGACAGCAAUAUUUCUCAUAACAGCUGAAGUAUCAGAAGUCUCUGAUUGCUGGAUGCCGGAAUAUUCCCCAGUGACAAUUCUUUUUGGAAUAAUAACGGACAGGAGUGCCACUUUCAAUUCUGUGCUGUCAGCCUGUGAGGCCAAAAAUCCUGUGGGUACCACAACACUGCCAUUUUGUGGAGAAUUUCCUUAAUUUGUGAGAAAAGGCACUCUUAAGAUGAUUGGAUUUCGUCUUUGGCUCCAACAGGAUUGAGAUUUCUUCUUUGGUGCACUGCUUUUCAGGUCUGCUUUUUAUGAAGAAAACAGAAUAAAAUAAAAUAAAACAAACAUUGAAAGACAAUUAUAAAUUUACUAUCAUAUCAUCUUCGGGAUUUCAGCUUUGUUCUUGUUCUGAAGUACGGAUAAACAUUGUAAUAAUACUUAAUACCACAAUAUAGUGCUUUUAAACCAUGAUGUUUUGCUGAGGAUAAUGUAAUACAUAUGCUCUGUAGAAAAAAAAAGGUAAAUACAUACAAAACAUAUAUAUGUACCUCUGAACAAAAUGCUCGGAUCAUAUUUUAUAGUUCAUAUAUACAUGCAUGAAUAUGUGUGUAUGUAAAUAAUACACCAUGUUGCCUCUGUGGUGUUAGAAAUUACAGGAUUCAUUUGAUUGCAAUUUCUUGCCUGCUGUCAGUCAGAUGCCUGUAAUUCUAGGGAUCAUUUUCUCUCAGAGGGACUUUGUGGCCAAGUUGUUUUCCCAGGGAUUCCUGAAAAUAGGUAACUACACUAUACAGAAAAUGUAUCUAUCUCAGCAUUUCUAUGGAAGAUGUAUAAGUGGAAAUUAUUUAGAUUUUUAAUAUCUGUAAAUUGAUGAAGGGAUCCAGGAAAGUAGGAAAAAAACGAAUGCUUUCAAAAGCUUUUUGACAUUGUCUUUCUAUGUAUGAACAAAUAUAAAGUGGUAAAAUCUUUGCACCAAUUUUUUCAAUACCAAAUUUUAGUUAUUAGGCAUCCCAUAAAAUGAUACUGAAUUAUAAAAUGCCUAAUAAUGCAGAAUUUAUAGUGAUAGUGUGACUUACAUUUGCAAUAAAGCAUGGAAUCUAUCUUCAAAGAACUGGAAGCUUGGUUUUACUAUAAGAAAUUAUACAAGUAAUAAAAAAAAUCAUUGUUGAGGGAUUUGUUAAAACCAGAUCAUGGGUCUCAGCUCUAAGUGAAUUUAUUUGGAACCUUCUGAAGCAGACAUUGCAAAUUUUUACAUUCUAAUGAGUGAACUAAAAACAUAUAUUUCAAAGAAAACAGCACUCAUAAAUUACAUUUAUGACACAUGAGGUUGCUGACUGCUGUGCAGGGAGCACAGAGUAAUGGUGCUAAUAUGCACUCUAGCUUGAUUUUCUCAGUUCCCAACAUGCUCUAAUUCUACACUACAAAUCUUUAAAUGGCAGUUAUAUUUUAAUUAAUAUGAUUAUGUGCUGCCAUUAGCAAACCCUCCCCCAGCACAUUUCUCGUGCCAAACCCAUGAAUGCCAGUAAACCAUUAACAUAAAAGGGCUGUUUGCUUAUUAAAUUCAUCUACACAAAUAGGCAAGGGUUGCAAUUGUUGAUUUGCCACUGAAAGAAAAGAACAUGAGCGAGCUGCACAGUAGCUGGCAGUUGCAAUUAUCUAGUGUAAUUAAGUCUAAUUUAU